AGUGAACGCUGGCGGUAGGCCUAACACUUGCAAGUCGAACGGCAGCACAGUAAGAGCUUGCUCUUACGGGUGGCGAGUGGCGGACGGGUGAGGAAUACAUCGGAAUCUACUUUUUCGUGGGGGACAACGUAGGGAAACUUACGCUAAUACCGCAUACGACCUACGGGUGAAAGCAGGGGAUCUUCGGACCUUGCGCGAUUGAAUGAGCCGAUGUCGGAUUAGCUAGUUGGCGGGGUAAAGGCCCACCAAGGCGACGAUCCGUAGCUGGUCUGAGAGGAUGAUCAGCCACACUGGAACUGAGACACGGUCCAGACUCCUACGGGAGGCAGCAGUGGGGAAUAUUGGACAAUGGGCGCAAGCCUGAUCCAGCCAUACCGCGUGGGUGAAGAAGGCCUUCGGGUUGUAAAGCCCUUUUGUUGGGAAAGAAAAGCAGCAGGUUAAUACCCCGCUGUUCUGACGGUACCCAAAGAAUAAGCACCGGCUAACUUCGUG
Molecule: ribosomal RNA, 492 nt
Filed under: uncultured bacterium
Lineage: Bacteria
Description: partial 16S ribosomal RNA
Rfam family: Bacterial small subunit ribosomal RNA
Source: RNAcentral